Molecule: ribosomal RNA, 1470 nt
Filed under: Lactiplantibacillus pentosus
Lineage: Bacteria; Bacillati; Bacillota; Bacilli; Lactobacillales; Lactobacillaceae
Description: bacterial SSU rRNA
Rfam family: Bacterial small subunit ribosomal RNA
Source: RNAcentral
CUCAGGACGAACGCUGGCGGCGUGCCUAAUACAUGCAAGUCGAACGAACUCUGGUAUUGAUUGGUGCUUGCAUCAUGAUUUACAUUUGAGUGAGUGGCGAACUGGUGAGUAACACGUGGGAAACCUGCCCAGAAGCGGGGGAUAACACCUGGAAACAGAUGCUAAUACCGCAUAACAACUUGGACCGCAUGGUCCGAGUUUGAAAGAUGGCUUCGGCUAUCACUUUUGGAUGGUCCCGCGGCGUAUUAGCUAGAUGGUGGGGUAACGGCUCACCAUGGCAAUGAUACGUAGCCGACCUGAGAGGGUAAUCGGCCACAUUGGGACUGAGACACGGCCCAAACUCCUACGGGAGGCAGCAGUAGGGAAUCUUCCACAAUGGACGAAAGUCUGAUGGAGCAACGCCGCGUGAGUGAAGAAGGGUUUCGGCUCGUAAAACUCUGUUGUUAAAGAAGAACAUAUCUGAGAGUAACUGUUCAGGUAUUGACGGUAUUUAACCAGAAAGCCACGGCUAACUACGUGCCAGCAGCCGCGGUAAUACGUAGGUGGCAAGCGUUGUCCGGAUUUAUUGGGCGUAAAGCGAGCGCAGGCGGUUUUUUAAGUCUGAUGUGAAAGCCUUCGGCUCAACCGAAGAAGUGCAUCGGAAACUGGGAAACUUGAGUGCAGAAGAGGACAGUGGAACUCCAUGUGUAGCGGUGAAAUGCGUAGAUAUAUGGAAGAACACCAGUGGCGAAGGCGGCUGUCUGGUCUGUAACUGACGCUGAGGCUCGAAAGUAUGGGUAGCAAACAGGAUUAGAUACCCUGGUAGUCCAUACCGUAAACGAUGAAUGCUAAGUGUUGGAGGGUUUCCGCCCUUCAGUGCUGCAGCUAACGCAUUAAGCAUUCCGCCUGGGGAGUACGGCCGCAAGGCUGAAACUCAAAGGAAUUGACGGGGGCCCGCACAAGCGGUGGAGCAUGUGGUUUAAUUCGAAGCUACGCGAAGAACCUUACCAGGUCUUGACAUACUAUGCAAAUCUAAGAGAUUAGACGUUCCCUUCGGGGACAUGGAUACAGGUGGUGCAUGGUUGUCGUCAGCUCGUGUCGUGAGAUGUUGGGUUAAGUCCCGCAACGAGCGCAACCCUUAUUAUCAGUUGCCAGCAUUAAGUUGGGCACUCUGGUGAGACUGCCGGUGACAAACCGGAGGAAGGUGGGGAUGACGUCAAAUCAUCAUGCCCCUUAUGACCUGGGCUACACACGUGCUACAAUGGAUGGUACAACGAGUUGCGAACUCGCGAGAGUAAGCUAAUCUCUUAAAGCCAUUCUCAGUUCGGAUUGUAGGCUGCAACUCGCCUACAUGAAGUCGGAAUCGCUAGUAAUCGCGGAUCAGCAUGCCGCGGGUGAAUACGUUCCCGGGCCUUGUACACACCGCCCGUCACACCAUGAGAGUUUGUAACACCCAAAGUCGGUGGGGUAACCUUUUAGGAACCAGCCGCC